ACAUGCAAGUCGAACGCGGGUGAGGGGCAACUCUCACCUGAGCGGCGAACGGGUGAGUAAUACAUCGGAACGUGUCCCGUAGUGGGGGAUAACCCGGCGAAAGCCGGACUAAUACCGCAUAUGCUCUACGGAGGAAAGUGGGGGACCCGCAAGGGCCUCACGCCAUGGGAGCGGCCGAUGUCCGAUUAGCUUGUUGGCGGGGUAACGGCCCACCAAGGCGACGAUCGGUAGCUGGUCUGAGAGGAUGAUCAGCCACACUGGGACUGAGACACGGCCCAGACUCCUACGGGAGGCAGCAGUGGGGAAUUUUGGACAAUGGGGGCAACCCUGAUCCAGCCAUGCCGCGUGAGUGAAGAAGGCCUUCGGGUUGUAAAGCUCUUUUGGCCGGAAAGAAAAGGCCGCGGAUAACACCUGCGGCUCUUGACGGUACCGGCAGAAUAAGCACCGGCUAACUACGUGCCAGCAGCCGCGGUAAUACGUAGGGUGCGAGCGUUAAUCGGAAUUACUGGGCGUAAAGCGUGCGUAGGCGGUUCUUUGUGUCCGCUGUGAAAGCCCCGGGCUCAACCUGGGAAUUGCAGUGGAAACUAGAGGACUCAGAAUCUGGCAGAGGGGGGUGGAAUGCCACGUGUA
Molecule: ribosomal RNA, 630 nt
Filed under: uncultured beta proteobacterium
Lineage: Bacteria; Pseudomonadati; Pseudomonadota; Betaproteobacteria
Description: bacterial SSU rRNA
Rfam family: Bacterial small subunit ribosomal RNA
Source: RNAcentral